Vicugna pacos (alpaca) is the source of this 1680-nucleotide non-coding RNA. The record is from RefSeq and is a predicted model, not a curated record. Lineage: Eukaryota; Metazoa; Chordata; Mammalia; Artiodactyla; Camelidae.
ACCGCGGCUCCAUCUAGCCCCACCUCCCCGGACACUUAGGCAGAAUUGCCCCGGUCCUGACCUGGCCACCACACUCGGGUUCUGACCCUCGAGCGGAAGUGCAGCUAGGUCUGGUCCCCGAGUGGCCCACCUGCUUCAGGCCCCGCCCCUGACCCCUCCUCCCGACCAAGAGGCUGGAGCGCAAGCAUGAUUCGCUAGAUGUUUUCCGGUUCCCCAAUAUUCCGUCGCCUGCUGGCAUCUUCCUUCGUAGACACCGUCCGUUGGAGUUUCCACCUUGGGCCUACUGUGUCCCCAGAGGACGCGCUAGCUUUUGCAGCACGUCCCCCUGGUAACUGGGUUGCCUCUGCCUUCACCCUCCCGCAACAGUGCGACGCCAUCGGCCUUAGGGUGGGUUUUCCUGAAGUCUAUUAUCUGGUCUCCCGGUUGCGAAAGCUGUCUGCGCGUGCGCACUCGAGAAAGCAAGUCCCAGCCAGCCAGGGCCUUUCUCUGACCCUGCCUUACUGCGCCUGCGUUGGGCCAAAUCGGAAGUACGUCCAGCUCUAGCCCUUUGGUCCGUCGCUUGGUUUUUGUCAGGAACUACUGGGCGCUGCGGGGGGUAUCGGUGGCUUCGGAUUUAAGAUUUCCUCGGGACUCCAGGACCAGCUGUGUACCUGUGUCUGGCAAGUACUGGAAUUCCAUGGGCUCGCUGAGCUCCCGAUCGGAAGGCCGCCGCAGCUGCAUGGAGACGCGCACAGGGGCCUGCAGGCUGGGGUCUGCGUAGGGGGGCGUCCGGAAAACAAUGGCCACUUGUCGGUGCACAUCAGCUUGUGAAAAGGAGCCUCGGGCCUCCCAGCCUGGUCCCGUGAAGUACACCUCGAUGUCCUCUGCAGGAGAUGGGGCGGCAGUGUGGGUCACUGUGCCCAACUCACCCAGCCUGCCGCCCCCACGGCUGCUGACACUUAUCCCUGAAGAUACAGCACCAUACUGCCCCCGAGGUGUUGGGGGGGGUGCGUUUAAACCAGUUGCCUGACACUCAGCAUGUCUGCUCAGCCUUGUCCCUCACCUCCUGCUCCAAAGAGUACAGCCCUGCUUCCUGGUGUGUACCUUUCUGCACCUUGUCACACAGCAGGAAGAUCUCAUCCCCCCCAAGGCAGCUCCCAGAGUUUCGAUUCACUCGGCAGAUCUUGAGCUCGGCGGUGUUGGGGGCACCUGAGGGUGUGGGAAUAAGGAAGGUAGUCCUGAACCACCAGAGGUCUCCCAUGCUGACCUGCACGAAAUGCAAGGCUCCUACCCAGCCCAGAGUCAAGGUUGUCCAGAGCUUGCUGACUGCACCUCUGCAGCCAAGAGUCAACCCUUCCCAUUUCCCACUGGCUCUUCACCCGAACCAAUUCAGCAGCUAUUUAUCUACCAGUACCUACCAUGUGCGCAGCACUGUUUUAGGCAUGAAGAAUAUAACAACACAUGAAACCUAAAUAUCUCUGCCUUCACAGAGCUUACAGUCCAAUAGGAACCAAUACAAUCACAAUUCCUUCUUCUCCAUCCGACCCAAGCAGUCUUCAAGGCCCAUCCAUACCCACCUUGGCAAUGAACCGUUCCCUCCUAACCCUCAGUUCAUCCUGGCUUCCUAGCCUCGGGACACCAAAGCCCUUUUAUUUUCACUCAUCCUGCUCACUACUUAAAGACUGCAGUUGAUCAAUGUCA